Molecule: ribosomal RNA, 221 nt
Filed under: Clostridiales bacterium
Lineage: Bacteria; Bacillati; Bacillota; Clostridia; Eubacteriales
Description: partial 16S ribosomal RNA
Rfam family: Bacterial small subunit ribosomal RNA
Source: RNAcentral
GAACAGAAGAGUUUGAUCCUGGCUCAGGACGAACGCUGGCGGCGUGCCUAACACAUGCAAGUCGAGCGGGGAUGGAUGAAGUGCUUGCACAGAUUCUAUUCUAGCGGCGGACGGGUGAGUAACGCGUGAACAAUCUGUCCUAAACAGGGGGAUAACAACUGGAAACAGUUGCUAAUACCGCAUAAGACCACGCUUCCGCAUGGAAGAGGGGUAAAAGGAGC